UUCCACCUCUUCCCAUUCCGAACAGAGAAGUUAAGCUUCGCAUCGCCGAUGGUACUGCGCAAGUGGGAGAGUAGGCAGCCGCCGUUU
This 87-nucleotide ribosomal RNA is filed under the name Bacteroides sp. An322. Lineage: Bacteria; Pseudomonadati; Bacteroidota; Bacteroidia; Bacteroidales; Bacteroidaceae. The record is from RNAcentral.